Molecule: long non-coding RNA, 163 nt
Organism: Pan troglodytes (chimpanzee)
Lineage: Eukaryota; Metazoa; Chordata; Mammalia; Primates; Hominidae
Exons: 2
Source: RefSeq, a predicted model, not a curated record
AGGCAUCCUGAGACAUUCUUUCUUUGGUAUCCUCAACGCUACUAUCAAUAUAUUUGUUGGAAGGGGCAUGAUGAUGCUGCAGAAAAAUCAGCAUAUUACCUUGAACCUCACAAAGACUGGACUAGGACCUGCAGACUUCUGUUCAGUUCCAGAUUAUUUGGAG